CAAUAGCGUAUAUUAAAGUUGUUGCGGUAAAAAAGCUCGUAGUUGGAUUUCUGUUGAGAGCGACCGGUCCAUACCAUGUAUGCGUAUCUGGCUUGCUCUCGGCAUCCUCUCGAUAGACGUUACUGCGCUUGAUUGCGUGGUGCGGAUCUCGGGACUUUUACUUUGAGGAAAUUAGAGCGUUCACGGCAGGCUUUCGCCAGAAUACAUUAGCAUGGAAUAAUACUAUAGGAUCUUGGUUCUAUUUUGUUGGUUUCUAGAAUUGAGAUAAUGAUUAAUAGGGACAAUUGGGGGCAUUCGUAUCAACACGUCAGAGGUGGAAUUCUUGGAUUGUGUUGCGACGAACUACUGCGAAAGCAUUUGCCAAGGAUGUUUUCAUUGA
Molecule: ribosomal RNA, 379 nt
Filed under: uncultured eukaryote
Lineage: Eukaryota
Description: partial 18S ribosomal RNA
Rfam family: Eukaryotic small subunit ribosomal RNA
Source: RNAcentral